GCGAGAAUAGUCUAGUGGUUAUGAUGUCGCCUUUACACGGCGAAGGUCGGGGUACGUUACCUUCGUAUA
Non-coding RNA from Microthyrium microscopicum, 69 nucleotides. Lineage: Eukaryota; Fungi; Ascomycota; Dothideomycetes; Microthyriales; Microthyriaceae. The record is from the annotation of a GenBank genome assembly.